AAGCUGCAAAGGCGGGAAGCUCCCUAGGGAUCACUACUGAGCUCCGACAGAGCCAAACUGGACAGCAAAUUACAGCAUCAGUUGCCACCGCCCACCUCAGCAAUAAAAGUCCCAGAUUUAAAAUACAGGAAGCAGAUUUCAUCAAAGGAGUUCCUUACUGUGAAAAGGCACAAUGAGGUUCAUGUGACAUGUGUUUGAUGAAAGGAUGGGAAGUAUGGGAAGGACACACAGACACACAGACUGCUUCAGCCAUAGGGAGCACUCUCCAGGAUCAUGGGAUGAAUAAUGUCUUCUCUUGUCUUCAGUUUGGGAAGUUUUUUUUUUUAUCACAUAUUUUUUGUGAAUAAUAUAUUUAAGAAUUUUUCAUACU
This 370-nucleotide long non-coding RNA is filed under the name Mus caroli (Ryukyu mouse). RNAcentral describes it as "predicted gene 2087 (MGP_CAROLIEiJ_G0004221.1)". Lineage: Eukaryota; Metazoa; Chordata; Mammalia; Rodentia; Muridae. The record is from RNAcentral.